RNAcentral lists this ribosomal RNA (378 nucleotides) under uncultured archaeon. Its description in RNAcentral is "bacterial SSU rRNA". It matches the Rfam family "Archaeal small subunit ribosomal RNA", at positions 691 to 1069 of the family's 1478-position model. The record is from RNAcentral.
CCGACGGUGAGGGGCGAAAGCUGGGGAGCAAACCGGAUUAGAUACCCGGGUAGUCCCAGCUGUAAACGAUGCGCGUUAGGUGUAUCAGUGACCACGAGUCACUGAGGUGCCGAAGAGAAAUCGUGAAACGUGCCGCCUGGGAAGUACGGUCGCAAGGCUGAAACUUAAAGGAAUUGGCGGGGGAGCACCACAACAGGUGGAGCCUGCGGUUUAAUCGGACUCAACGCCGGAAAUCUCACCAGAUAAGACAGCUGAAUGAUAGUCGGGCUGAAGACUCUACUUGACUAGCUGAGAGGAGGUGCAUGGCCGUCGUCAGUUCGUACUGUGAAGCAUCCUGUUAAGUCAGGCAACGAGCGAGACCCACGCCAACAGUUGCUA